Molecule: transfer RNA, 71 nt
Filed under: Stegodyphus mimosarum
Lineage: Eukaryota; Metazoa; Arthropoda; Arachnida; Araneae; Eresidae
Rfam family: tRNA
About the family: Transfer RNA (tRNA) molecules are approximately 80 nucleotides in length. Their secondary structure includes four short double-helical elements and three loops (D, anti-codon, and T loops).
Source: Rfam by way of RNAcentral
GCCUUCGUGGUUUAAUGGUAGCGCACUCGCCGCGUAUUCGAGAGGCCCAAGUUCAAGUCCUGACGAGGGCA